RNAcentral lists this ribosomal RNA (54 nucleotides) under Agreia bicolorata. The record is from RNAcentral. RNAcentral also lists the same sequence under 1 other name. Lineage: Bacteria; Bacillati; Actinomycetota; Actinomycetes; Micrococcales; Microbacteriaceae.
UGCGCCGAUGGUACUGCAAGGGGGACCUUGUGGGAGAGUAGGACACCGCCGGAC